RNAcentral lists this microRNA precursor (74 nucleotides) under Marmota monax (woodchuck). Lineage: Eukaryota; Metazoa; Chordata; Mammalia; Rodentia; Sciuridae. The record is from RNAcentral.
AUCUCACUUCCUUUAUUCUUCCAUUUAUAUAUAUAUAUAUAUAUAUAUAAAUGGAAGAAUAAAGGAAGUGAUUA